CUUGACAAACAUGGAGUAUUAUUUUUAAGUUAUCGUUUGGUCAACCGGACAAUCUUUUUGCGACGAAUGUAGUAGGAGAUACGCUGAUCAAGACAAUCUUCCAGAAUCACGAGCAGCCCUUCUUGUAUUUCAAUAUGAUUUAUCUCAAGGCUUUCUCCAAAGACCAGGGUUGGCAUAGAGGUCACCUUUUAAGACGUGAUGGAUGCAGGGAUUAGAAUCUCAUUGUUGUGAGCUGCAGGUUUGAUUAAAUAAACAGGCCAAAAAUAAAAAAA
Rhododendron vialii is the source of this 272-nucleotide long non-coding RNA. RefSeq lists it as uncharacterized. The record is from RefSeq and is a predicted model, not a curated record. Lineage: Eukaryota; Viridiplantae; Streptophyta; Magnoliopsida; Ericales; Ericaceae. The transcript has 2 exons.